RNAcentral lists this ribosomal RNA (618 nucleotides) under uncultured Synechococcus sp. RNAcentral's name for it is "bacterial SSU rRNA". It matches the Rfam family "Bacterial small subunit ribosomal RNA", at positions 122 to 770 of the family's 1533-position model. The record is from RNAcentral. Lineage: Bacteria; Bacillati; Cyanobacteriota; Cyanophyceae; Synechococcales; Synechococcaceae.
GAAUCUGCCCUUAGGAAAAGAAUAACUUCUGGAAACGGUUGCUAAAUCUUUAUAUGUCGAGAGAUGAAAUAGCUUAGGCUGCCUAAGGAUGAGCUCACGCCUGAUUAGCUUGUUGGUGAGGUAAAGGCUCACCAAGGCCACGAUCAGUAGCUGGUUUGAGAGAACGACCAGCCACACUGGGACUGAGACACGGCCCAGACUCCUCCGGGAGGCAGCAGUGAGGAAUUUUCCGCAAUGGGCGAAAGCCUGACGGAGCAAUACCGCGUGAGGGAUGAAGGAUUUUGGUCUGUAAACCUCUUUUCUCAAGAAAGAAGUUCUGACGGUACUUGAGGAAUAAGCAUCGGCUAACUCCGUGCCAGCAGCCGCGGUAAUACGGGGGAUGCAAGCGUUAUCCGGAAUGAUUGGGCGUAAAGCGCCAGUAGGUUGUUUAUUAAGUCCGUUGUUAAAGCCUAGGGCUUAACCCUAGAAAAGCAAUGGAAACUAGUAGACUAGAGUAUGGCAGGGGUAGAGGGAAUUUCUAGUGUAGCGGUGAAAUGCGUAGAUAUUAGAAAGAACACCGGUGGCGAAAGCACUCUACUGGACCAUUACUGACACUCAGAGGCGAAAGCUAGGGUAGCA